AGAUAUGUGAUUUUAUGAUAAAUUGAAAUUUAUUUUAAAACGCGGGUUCGAUUCCCGCCUUAUCCA
Molecule: transfer RNA, 66 nt
Filed under: Culex quinquefasciatus (southern house mosquito)
Lineage: Eukaryota; Metazoa; Arthropoda; Insecta; Diptera; Culicidae
Rfam family: tRNA
About the family: Transfer RNA (tRNA) molecules are approximately 80 nucleotides in length. Their secondary structure includes four short double-helical elements and three loops (D, anti-codon, and T loops). Further hydrogen bonds mediate the characteristic L-shaped molecular structure. tRNAs have two regions of fundamental functional importance: the anti-codon, which is responsible for specific mRNA codon recognition, and the 3' end, to which the tRNAs corresponding amino acid is attached (by aminoacyl-tRNA synthetases). tRNAs cope with the degeneracy of the genetic code in two manners: having more than one tRNA (with a specific anti-codon) for a particular amino acid; and 'wobble' base-pairing, i.e. permitting non-standard base-pairing at the 3rd anti-codon position.
Source: Rfam by way of RNAcentral